CUGCAGAAGAAGCGCCGGGCUAACUACGUGCCAGCAGCCGCGGUAAUACGUAGGGCGCAAGCGUUAUCCGGAAAUAUUGGGCGUAAAGAGCUCGUAGGCGGUUUGUCGCGUCUGCCGUGAAAGUCCGGGGCUCAACUCCGGAUCUGCGGUGGGUACGGGCAGACUAGAGUGAUGUAGGGGAGACUGGAAUUCCUGGUGUAGCGGUGAAAUGCGCAGAUAUCAGGAGGAACACCGAUGGCGAAGGCAGGUCUCUGGGCAUUAACUGACGCUGAGGAGCGAAAGCAUGGGGAGCGAACAGGAUUAGAUACCCUGGUAGUCCAUGCCGUAAACGUUGGGCACUAGGUGUGGGGGACAUUCCACGUUUUCCGCGCCGUAGCUAACGCAUUAAGUGCCCCGCCUGGGGAGUACGGCCGCAAGGCUAAAACUCAAAGGAAUUGACGGGGGCCCGCACAAGCGGCGGAGCAUGCGGAUUAAUUCGAUGCAACGCGAAGAACCUUACCAAGGCUUGACAUGAACCGGACCGCUGCAGAAAUGUGGUUUCCCCUUUGGGGCUGGUUUACAGGUGGUGCAUGGUUGUCGUCAGCUCGUGUCGUGAGAUGUUGGGUUAAGUCCCGCAACGAGCGCAACCCUCGUUCUAUGUUGCCAGCACGUGAUGGUGGGGACUCAUAGGAGACUGCCGGGGUCAACUCGGAGGAAGGUGGGGACGACGUCAAAUCAUCAUGCCCCUUAUGUCUUGGGCUUCACGCAUGCUACAAUGGCCGGUACAAAGGGUUGCGAUACUGUGAGGUGGAGCUAAUCCCAAAAAGCCGGUCUCAGUUCGGAUUGGGGUCUGCAACUCGACCCCAUGAAGUCGGAGUCGCUAGUAAUCGCAGAUCAGCAACGCUGCGGUGAAUACGUUCCCGGGCCUUGUACACACCGCCCGUCAAGUCACGAAAGUUGGUAACACCCGAAGCCGGUGGCCUAACCCCUUUCGGGGAUGGAGACU
This 985-nucleotide ribosomal RNA is filed under the name Arthrobacter pascens. RNAcentral's name for it is "bacterial SSU rRNA". It matches the Rfam family "Bacterial small subunit ribosomal RNA", at positions 479 to 1455 of the family's 1533-position model. Lineage: Bacteria; Bacillati; Actinomycetota; Actinomycetes; Micrococcales; Micrococcaceae. The record is from RNAcentral.